AGCGAACGUUGGCGGCAGGCCUAACACAUGCAAGUCGAACGAACUCUUCGGAGUUAGUGGCGGACGGGUGAGUAACACGUGGGAACGUGCCUUUAGGUUCGGAAUAACUCAGGGAAACUUGUGCUAAUACCGAAUGUGCCCUUCGGGGGAAAGAUUUAUCGCCUUUAGAGCGGCCCGCGUCUGAUUAGCUAGUUGGUGAGGUAAAGGCUCACCAAGGCGACGAUCAGUAGCUGGUCUGAGAGUAUGAUCAGCCACAUUGGGACUGAGACACGGCCCAAACUCCUACGGGAGGCAGCAGUGGGGAAUCUUGCGCAAUGGGCGAAAGCCUGACGCAGCCAUGCCGCGUGAAUGAUGAAGGUCUUAGGAUUGUAAAAUUCUUUCACCGGGGACGAUAAUGACGGUACCCGGAGAAGAAGCCCCGGCUAACUUCGUG
RNAcentral lists this ribosomal RNA (433 nucleotides) under uncultured bacterium. RNAcentral's name for it is "partial 16S ribosomal RNA". It matches the Rfam family "Bacterial small subunit ribosomal RNA", at positions 29 to 507 of the family's 1533-position model. The record is from RNAcentral.